AAAUGAGGGUGAACCACAAAGUGGAAGUAUUUUCUUAGCUCGUGAGAUUUGCCACGAGGACGGGACUAUAGGGAGAUUGGACUCAAAUUGAGAAAGGCCCUAACAUGGCAUUGGUCUUCAGCUUGUCCACUCAUGUUUCUCCUCAUCACUGGGAUGGAGACAUCCAAAAGUCUAAACCAGCGCUCAGAGUUGAAGCAGGUCAUCCAGGUGGAAUCUGGGAAGGAUGCAGUCCUAGACUGCUCUGUGAAGUUCAGUGAGGAAUCCCCUGGUAAUGUAAACAUAAAGCAGGUUGUGGAGGCUGGACCAGAAUGGUCAUUACAAAGGUGAACCUGUGUUCACAUAUAUAUAUACAAUCCUCCAAUCCCAGGAUGCUGCUGAGCCCAAAAUAUCAGCUUUCCAUGCCACCUGCCAAUGAGAGACAAAGUUGUGUCCCUGUUGGUUAAAGAAACCCAGCCUGAAGAAGAGGGUCCGUAUGAGUGUGUGGUGAACACUGACAGUGGAAACACAAAUUGUAACUUCAUGCUGAAGGUCACAGUAUGAGACCAGCACCAGGUUCCUGAGAAUGCUGCAAAUCAAAAGGAAAUUCCAAAGAACAGUUACAAGAAUGUGACUGCUGUAUUUGUGGUAGUAGGCUCUCUUGCCAUUGGACUGCUGCUUCUCAAGCUGUUUCAAGCCAGAAGACUCAGACAACAUGAGCACCCAGGGUCAUGUCCAUUAGGACACACUGUUGCAAAAUGCUUCAAGAAGUUAUUCAGAUAGUUCCUCCCCAUUUCAGACUGCUUCUUUCCAUUUCGUGCCUAGUGAACACGACCUUGCAUUUGACAAUCUCUGCCGAGAGGAAUGCAGAGGUCUGGGAAGAUUAGGAGAGUACUUUCUGUUCUGGCUAAAUGCCAGGAUGUUGCUAUAUAAGUGGAAUGGAGAACUAACUCCUCGACAAGAUCACUUAGUUUAGUUUUUAUUGUUUUAGUUUCUCUAUUGCUCUCCUUCUCCUCCCCAGAUGGGAAUUCAGGAUUUGUUAUUCAAUUGUCUCUGUAACAAAUCACAAAACAUGGUAGAGCACACAGUAUCAACCCCUGUAAAAGGUUGCUUCUGGUUUCUCUUUCCAGAUGAACCAGUGGCACAGGAAGACUCUUUUGUGGCAGAAUGUUUGAGUAUAUUAUUUUUGUCUACCUAAUCGAAGAGGGAUUCCUGUCAAAACGAUCAAAUUCAUAGUAAAAUGCAGUGUAUAAAAUGUGUGUGGUAAAAUGGUGUAUAACAGUGUUGGUAUUCCUAUUGUCCCCUAUGGAACCAGAGCCUGAGGAUACAGCAGUCCCAGCAGAGCACGACUCCAGCACCAGGACAGGACUGUUUCCGUAGCGACAGAUGUAUUAUCCGGAGUGUUAUGGGCUCUCUUCCCUGUCGGUGUCAUGUCUGCUCUGUCUCUCACGCCACACAGCUAACUGAAUGUUAAUGCUUUGCCUGGAAGAGAGAACAAUCUGGUUCAACACUAUUGUGUUCCCCCUCUGCAGGAGAAAUGGAGUGCAUGCAUUAUCCUGCUACCAAGCUAAGUGUUAACAGCAUUGUCUGUAGUUGUUAACCACACCAGACUAUUCUUUCAUAUAUUGUGACUAAAACCUGAUGUUAGAGUUCAGUGUGUCAUCGGGAUCUCUGUUGAAAAGUUUGUUUCUGUUGGAGAGUCUGUCCUCUCUGUCUCUGUCCUCUCUGUCUCUCUCUCUGUUGUGGUUAGAAUGGAUAGUUCAGAGUAACAUUCAUUCAUGACGUUAUAGAUUAGCUGUUUUGGCGGUUGUCGGUCUUCGCGUUCAAUGAUACCGAAUUCCUAGCUGCAGACUAGUAAUUAAUAUCAAAGACUUGUUCUUAUUCUGUCGGUAUCGAUAGUCUAAGAGUUUAACCACAUGGUAUGGUUAAAAGUUCAGCAAGAGAAAUGCAUGGUCUGCAACCUUUAGCCAUCUCGUAAUUGAGGUAAGCUUGGCCUCCUCUCAAACCUUGCCCCUCAUUAUCAAGGUAAGCUGGUCUCGUCUCAAACCUUAGCCCUCUCGUUAUCGAGGUAAGCUGGUCUGGUGAUAGAAAACCUAGGUGGGGAUUUUAUUUAGAAGAGCAGAAAAGGGCCAGUCCCAUGACACCAGACCAUAACUGUGCUCAUGGGUGGUCCUCUGAUUAGUUAAACUCCAAAAGGGAAUUGGAGUUUCCUUCAUUAAACAGUCCAAAAUCACAUUACACAAUUUCACAAACAGUUCCAUCCUCACUCAUUCAUUUUAUACAACAAUUAGAUGUAAGCCUCAUAACUGAGGCUAUUAUAUAAACAGCGUUAUGGUAAUGUGGCCGUAUUGUCUCUCAUGAGUUUCACAAAAUUGUACCAAACGGACCAGUUCGUAGCUGGAUUCUUCACCAAUCUUUUAUACAUUCUCCAGAACAUAAAUAU
Non-coding RNA from Salmo salar (Atlantic salmon), 2419 nucleotides. Lineage: Eukaryota; Metazoa; Chordata; Actinopteri; Salmoniformes; Salmonidae. The record is from RefSeq and is a predicted model, not a curated record.